This 25-nucleotide small RNA is filed under the name Arabidopsis thaliana (thale cress). RNAcentral describes it as "ATSL134950". Lineage: Eukaryota; Viridiplantae; Streptophyta; Magnoliopsida; Brassicales; Brassicaceae. The record is from RNAcentral.
AAGUUUUGGUUUUUUUUUUAACGUU